Molecule: ribosomal RNA, 253 nt
Filed under: uncultured bacterium
Lineage: Bacteria
Description: partial 16S ribosomal RNA
Rfam family: Bacterial small subunit ribosomal RNA
Source: RNAcentral
UACGUAGGUGGCAAGCGUUGUCCGGAAUUAUUGGGCGUAAAGCGCGCGCAGGCGGUCUCUUAAGUCUGAUGUGAAAUCUCGCGGCUCAACCGUGAGCGGUCAUUGGAAACUGGGAGACUUGAGUGCAGAAGAGAAGAGCGGAAUUCCACGUGUAGCGGUGAAAUGCGUAGAGAUGUGGAGGAACACCAGUGGCGAAGGCGGCUCUUUGGUCUGUAACUGACGCUAAGGCGCGAAAGCGUGGGGAGCGAACAGG